RNAcentral lists this ribosomal RNA (227 nucleotides) under uncultured Bacteroides sp. Its description in RNAcentral is "partial 16S ribosomal RNA". It matches the Rfam family "Bacterial small subunit ribosomal RNA", at positions 383 to 607 of the family's 1533-position model. Lineage: Bacteria; Pseudomonadati; Bacteroidota; Bacteroidia; Bacteroidales; Bacteroidaceae. The record is from RNAcentral.
CUGAACCAGCCAAGUAGCGUGAAGGAUGACUGCCCUAUGGGUUGUAAACUUCUUUUAUACGGGAAUAAAGUGAGGCGCGUGUGCCUUUUUGUAUGUACCGUAUGAAUAAGGAUCGGCUAACUCCGUGCCAGCAGCCGCGGUAAUACGGAGGAUCCGAGCGUUACCCGGAUUUAUUGGGUUUAAAGGGAGCGUAGGCGGACGCUUAAGUCAGUUGUGAAAGUUUGCGG